GAUGAACGCUGGCGGCGUGCCUAAUACAUGCAAGUCGAGCGAACAGAUGAGGAGCUUGCUCCUCUGACGUUAGCGGCGGACGGGUGAGUAACACGUGGAUAACCUACCUAUAAGACUGGGAUAACUUCGGGAAACCGGAGCUAAUACCGGAUAAUAUAUUGAACCGCAUGGUUCAAUAGUGAAAGACGGUUUUGCUGUCACUUAUAGAUGGAUCCGCGCCGCAUUAGCUAGUUGGUAAGGUAACGGCUUACCAAGGCAACGAUACGUAGCCGACCUGAGAGGGUGAUCGGCCACACUGGAACUGAGACACGGUCCAGACUCCUACGGGAGGCAGCAGUAGGGAAUCUGCCGCAAUGGGCGAAAGCCUGACGGAGCAACGCCGCGUGAGUGAUGAAGGUCUUCGGAUCGUAAAACUCUGUUAUUAGGGAAGAACAAAUGUGUAAGUAACUAUGCACGUCUUGACGGUACCUAAUCAGAAAGCCACGGCUAACUACGUG
This 497-nucleotide ribosomal RNA is filed under the name uncultured bacterium. Its description in RNAcentral is "partial 16S ribosomal RNA". It matches the Rfam family "Bacterial small subunit ribosomal RNA", at positions 28 to 507 of the family's 1533-position model. The record is from RNAcentral.